GACGAACGCUGGCGGCGUGCCUAAUACAUGCAAGUAGAACGCACAGUUUAUACCGUAGCUUGCUACACCAUAGACUGUGAGUUGCGAACGGGUGAGUAACGCGUAGGUAACCUGCCUGGUAGCGGGGGAUAACUAUUGGAAACGAUAGCUAAUACCGCAUAAUAUUAAUUAUUGCAUGAUAAUUAAUUGAAAGGUGCAAUUGCACCACUACCAGAUGGACCUGCGUUGUAUUAGCUAGUAGGUGAAGUAACGGCUCACCUAGGCGACGAUACAUAGCCGAACUGAGAGGGUGAUCGGCCACACUGGGACUGAGACACGGCCCAGACUCCUACGGGAGGCAGCAGUAGGGAAUCUUCGGCAAUAGGCGAAAGUCUGACCGAGCAACGCCGCGUGAGUGAAGAAGGUUUUCGGAUCGUAAAGCUCUGUUGUAAGAGAAGAACGGGUGUGAGAGUGGAAAGUUCACACUGUGACGGUAUCUUACCAGAAAGGGACGGCUAACUACGUG
This 505-nucleotide ribosomal RNA is filed under the name uncultured bacterium. Its description in RNAcentral is "partial 16S ribosomal RNA". It matches the Rfam family "Bacterial small subunit ribosomal RNA", at positions 28 to 507 of the family's 1533-position model. The record is from RNAcentral.